UACGUAGGGGGCAAGCGUUAUCCGGAUUUACUGGGUGUAAAGGGAGCGUAGACGGCUUGGCAAGUCAGAAGUGAAAGCCCGGGGCUCAACCCCGGGACUGCUUUUGAAACUGCUUGGCUUGAGUGCAGGAGAGGUAAGUGGAAUUCCUAGUGUAGCGGUGAAAUGCGUAGAUAUUAGGAGGAACACCAGUGGCGAAGGCGGCUUACUGGACUGUAACUGACGUUGAGGCUCGAAAGCGUGGGGAGCAAACAGG
Molecule: ribosomal RNA, 253 nt
Filed under: uncultured bacterium
Lineage: Bacteria
Description: partial 16S ribosomal RNA
Rfam family: Bacterial small subunit ribosomal RNA
Source: RNAcentral